This 330-nucleotide unclassified non-coding RNA is filed under the name soil metagenome. Its description in RNAcentral is "partial contains 5.8S ribosomal RNA, internal transcribed spacer 2, and large subunit ribosomal RNA". The stretch from base 1 to 120 matches the Rfam family "5.8S ribosomal RNA", at positions 35 to 154 of the family's 154-position model. The record is from RNAcentral.
GAUGAAGAACGCAGCGAAAUGCGAUACGUAAUGUGAAUUGCAGAAUUCAGUGAAUCAUCGAGUCUUUGAACGCACAUUGCGCCCCCUGGUAUUCCGGGGGGCAUGCCUGUCCGAGCGUCAUUUCACCACUCAAGCCUGGCUUGGUGUUGGGCGACGUCCCCUUUGGGGACGCGCCUCGAAACGCUCGGCGGCGUGGCACCGGCUUUAAGCGUAGCAGAAUCUUUCGCUUUGGAAGUCGGGGCCCCGUCUGCCGGAAGACCUACUCGCAAGGUUGACCUCGGAUCAGGCAGGGAUACCCGCUGAACUUAAGCAUAUCAAUAAGCGGAGGGA